CAAGACUGGAUACCAGCUAGUAGCCUCGAUGACAACCAGGCUCCAAGGGAGGAGUGACAACAAUGUGAUUUGGAGAAGACCUGAGCCCUAGGACCAUGCCUCAGGACUACCUGGCAUGAUGACUCCUUGCUGUCCCCAGUCCACCUGGCCGUGCUGCUGCUCCAGUUUCAACUGUUCUGCCUGCGGCUAUGGAACCCUGACCUGUUCACCGGACGUGCUACCGGUCCCCAGACCUGCUGUUUUCAACUCUCUAGAGACAGCAGGAGUGGUAGAGAUACUCUCAAUGAUCGGCUAUGAAAAGCCAACUGACUCCUGAGGUGCUGACCUGAGGUGCUGACCUGUUGCACCCUUGAAAACUACUGUGGUUAUUAUUAUUUGACCAUGCUGGUCAUUUAUGAACAUUUGAACAUCUUGGCCAUGUUCUGUUAUAAUUUCCACCUGGCACAGACAGAAGAGGACUGGCCACCCCUCAUAACCUGGUUCCUCUCUAGGUUUCUUCUUAGGUUUUGGCCUUUCUAGGGAGGUUUUCCUAGCCACCGUGCUUCUAAACCUGCAUUGCUUGCUGUUUGGGGUUUUCGGCUGGGUUUCUGUACAGCACUUUGAGAUAUCAGCUGAUCUAAGAAGGGCUAUAUAAAUACAUUUGAUUUGAUUUGACUAGCCGUAAUAGAUACAUUCUUAAGGUUAUGUGCUAACAUAAAGUAUCCGGCAAAAACAAGCUGGUCUGAAAAUGUUUCCCAUAAAAGACUGUUCUUCUAACCUCAAUUCCAGGUAACAUAAGUGAUUUAUAAACACAUUUAAUUUAGCUAUUUACUUCCUGCUACAGCUGCUAGGGAAGGAGGCUUUGACAUACCACUCGCUGACACAACUUGCCCUAUCCCAUUUGUAUUGCAAUAAAGAACACAUUGACUGUC
Molecule: long non-coding RNA, 911 nt
Organism: Oncorhynchus nerka (sockeye salmon)
Lineage: Eukaryota; Metazoa; Chordata; Actinopteri; Salmoniformes; Salmonidae
Exons: 2
Source: RefSeq, a predicted model, not a curated record